UAAAAAUACUUUUGCUGUAAGUAGCACACACAGAAGGGCAGCUGUGCCUUAGUCUUUUUCUGUGUGGAAUUGCUGUCAAAAGAUUUAGAAAGCAUCGUUUUUGUUCUUGGGGCAGCUGGUAUUUGCUUAUUCUGCCUCCCCU
Molecule: small nuclear RNA, 142 nt
Organism: Podarcis muralis (Common wall lizard)
Lineage: Eukaryota; Metazoa; Chordata; Lepidosauria; Squamata; Lacertidae
Product: U11 spliceosomal RNA
Source: Ensembl